GGGGAACCAGGACUUUUACUUUGAAAAAAUUAGAGUGCUCCAGGCAGGCCUAUGCUCGAAUACAUUAGCAUGGAAUAAUAGAAUAGGACGUGUGGUUCUAUUUUGUUGGUUUCUAGGACCGCCGUAAUGAUUAAUAGGGACAGUCGGGGGCAUCAGUAUUCAAUUGUCAGAGGUGAAAUUCUUGGAUCUAUUGAAGACUAACUACUGCGAAAGCAUUUGCCAAGGAUGUUUUCAUUGAUAAGGAACGAAAGUUAGGGGAUCGAAGACGAUCAGAUACCGUCGUAGUCUUAACUAUAAACUAUGCCGACUAGGGAUCGGACGAUGUUAUCUUUUGACGCGUUCGGCACCUUUCGAGAAAUCAAAGUGCUUGGGCUCCAGGGGGAGUAUGGUCGCAAGGCUGAGACUUAAAGAAAUUGACGGAAGGGCACCACCAGGGGUGGAACCUGCGGCUUAAUUUGACACAACACGGGGAAACUCACCAGGUCCAGACACAGUGAGGAUUGACAGAUUGAGAGCUCUUUCUUGAUUCUGUGGGUGGUGGUGCAUGGCCGUUCUUAGUUGGUGGAGUGAUUUGUCUGCUUAAUUGCGAUAACGAACGAGACCU
Molecule: ribosomal RNA, 604 nt
Filed under: uncultured fungus
Lineage: Eukaryota; Fungi
Description: SSU rRNA
Rfam family: Eukaryotic small subunit ribosomal RNA
Source: RNAcentral